GAUAGCCCUUCCUUCAAGUCAUUCUAUGCCUCCCUAUUCUAUCACGCAAUCUUUAUAGUCAUCAACGGCCACCAACCCUUUACUUUGUCAAAAGACCAACUUGCCUGGCAAGGUGAUUUAGUUAGGAGCGUGAUGAUUGCCACUGUAAUAAUGAGAUUAGAGACGCGUACGCUAGGAAAAUUAGGAGUGGAGUCCAACCGCAGGCUGCCAAACUUCCUUUGAUGACAUGACACAUAUGACCCACCAAACCAUGUGUAAGCAUUCUGGUAAUUGGGUCCCUCAAUUUGGUGAAACCGAAGUUGAUCUCAAAAAGAAUGUACCAUUCUGACAUAUUCUGAUCACAAUCCCAGUUUUUU
Molecule: unclassified non-coding RNA, 356 nt
Filed under: Hevea brasiliensis (rubber tree)
Lineage: Eukaryota; Viridiplantae; Streptophyta; Magnoliopsida; Malpighiales; Euphorbiaceae
Source: RNAcentral